This 78-nucleotide non-coding RNA is filed under the name unclassified sequences. The record is from RNAcentral.
CCGGUGGAGGUAAACCGGAGUGUAAUGCAGCCGUGCAAUGCACGAGAGUCCAAAGCCUCUAUAAAUGCAGAUGGCGCG